Ceratotherium simum simum (southern white rhinoceros) is the source of this 77-nucleotide non-coding RNA. NCBI's taxonomy places the organism in Eukaryota, Metazoa, Chordata, Mammalia, Perissodactyla, Rhinocerotidae. The record is from RefSeq and is a predicted model, not a curated record.
UUGCUUAACAUACAAGUCCCGAUCAAAUCUUCUUUUCAUUGCUAUGGAAUUUUGACCCCUGUUUUUAGUGGAAUCUU